Molecule: non-coding RNA, 196 nt
Filed under: Lachnospiraceae bacterium
Lineage: Bacteria; Bacillati; Bacillota; Clostridia; Lachnospirales; Lachnospiraceae
Description: 6S RNA
Rfam family: 6S / SsrS RNA
About the family: E. coli 6S RNA was the first non coding RNA to be sequenced, but its function was unknown until recently. It consists of 184 nucleotides that fold into an extended hairpin structure with a large single-stranded internal bulge. The 6S RNA specifically associates with RNA polymerase holoenzyme containing the sigma70 specificity factor.
Source: RNAcentral
AUUAACCUGAAAUGUACGACAACUCCUGUUAGUUUUGAACCUACAGAUACUUUAAACGGGAUUCCUACAUCAUCUGGCGGCUGCCAAGCCCUCACUCUUUUAUGAGGAUUGGAAGGGAAGGCAAAUGUGCAGAUUGCGGUGACCCACCUAGCGCGGCUAGGAGUCAAAAGGCAGGAACCGGCAUUUUGGGUAUAAA